Molecule: long non-coding RNA, 1998 nt
Organism: Anopheles stephensi (Asian malaria mosquito)
Lineage: Eukaryota; Metazoa; Arthropoda; Insecta; Diptera; Culicidae
Exons: 2
Source: RefSeq, a predicted model, not a curated record
UCGAGGAUUGUUGCAGCAGGCCAAGACCGCAAAGCGGUUGAGGCGCCUGAUAAGUAAGCCCGGUCAACAAAAGAUCUCCAGGAAACUCGAUCCCUGGCUACAGCUUCCCAUCCGUGUAGGCACCCGAUCUCCGACAGGUUUCCCUUCACCUGAUCCAGCCAACAAACUCGCUGUGCUCCCCGACGCCUCGUGCCGAACUGAGGGUCGCUGACGAGCACCUUCUUGGCGGGGCAUGAGUCCGGCAUCUUCAUAACAUGCCCCAGCCAUCGUAUCCUGCCGGUCUUCGCCACCGUCAGGAUGUCCGGUUCGUCGUAUAACUCAGCAAGCUCGUGGUUCAUCCUUCACCUUCACACUCCAUGCUCGAACACGCCCAGAGCGUUUGCAUCCUCUGCAAACGGAUGGUCCAAGACUCGUGGCCAUAUAGGACCACCGGACGAAUCAGUGUGCGAUAGAACUCACGUUUCGUGCGGUCUCGAAGUCUACUGGAUCUCAGCAGAUGGUGAAGGCCGUAGUAGGCACGAUUCCACUGCACAACGCGUCUCCGGAUUUCGCUGGGGAGACUUAAAAUGUGGACGGCUUAAAAAGGCUUUAUAGGUUAGAUUGUACGGUGUCAUUCUCAGUAAAUGGCCAAGCUACCUGACGUGAGUCUCCCGAAGCUUUACACACAUAUGGGGUCAAAAACUCUUCUUGGAACAGAGUCGAUAUCUGCGAGGCGUGAAUAGCAAAUUUCUUCUUCUUCUUUGGCUCUACAACCUCAAGAGGUUUGCGGCCUGCCAUUUCUGGCUUUCUGUGACUCUGUCUCCGUUUCUGGACGCUCAGUUCUGCGUCAGUAGCAUACACACACUGGGACAUAAAAAGGCAAUCCAGGACUCUUGCGACAGGGGAAAGUUUCUUCAGACUGUUGCAUGGCCGGUUAGAACUACUGCACACGUAUCUCAACAUCUCUGUUGUUCUCUAGUUGCUCGUCUAACCUCCUGUAUACAUGGGGUAGAUUCCAAUAACAAAUCUUGGUGAUUAACUAUCUCGUACCUCAGCAAUAGGAUGAUAUCGUCAGCUAAUUAACCUUCCAGCAUUUAAGAUAUUGUACAUUACAAAUAACUAUCAUAAAACUUAUUAACAAUUACUAACAUUGCAUACUUUCAGGCGCCAGUGUAUACGGCGGUGAAUUACUGUAUGUGACAAUAACCUUUGUUGUUUCAAUUCAAGCAUAAUUGAACACAAAAAUAGAAUAAUUGAUUUUAAAAUUCAAAAUUGUUAUAAAUUUAUACAUAAGUAGAGCUUAAAGCUGAUAAAUUAAAGCUGAUAAACCCUCCUUUCCUUCAAGGCAUCAAGGCAAGCAAAAGCCUUCAAAAUACUCAAUUAAAAUGCAUAGCCUCGCGUUCGAAACCGGGUUCCACUUCCUAAUCGCAUUACUACUUGCUUCACAGCUAAGUCAUACAGCUGUGUUAAUAUUCAAGAUCACUAGCAGACUUGUCCGUAACGUCUUUAAGGGGAAGGAUUUAUUUCGAAUGCUGUUACUUAGCUUUUGGGGGGGGGGGGGGGGUUUCUCCCCCCUUUUGGCGCAGUUCUCAUUGCUCACUUUCUUAUGGCGCAAUUUGACACGUGCCUGCCGCUAAGAACCAAAACACAUGCCACCUGGCAAUUACAAACUUUGCUGGCCGCUGCUGGGGCAGGAACAGUUCAGGAACUUUAACAGCAUCGAUUGUGACCGUGCGAUACGAAGUGUGUGUGUGUGUGUGUGACCUCGAUGUUUUGGAUGUAAGCCCACCACAGCUGGGAAGGGUGAGAAGGAUUCAAUUGCUGUUGCUGAGCGCACUCACACACCCGGCCUGAUUUUCAUGCCAGAGAGUAGACGUUUGGAGGAGUUAGUGAUUCGGUCAACGAUAUCUUACUUCGGCAGAGAACGGUGACCUUUCGUGUGUUUAUGUUUAUGGAAAUUUUCUGCAAAUUGAGCGCCCUCAGAUAUCCUCAGAACACCCCAACCCAACAAAGGCACAU